Molecule: ribosomal RNA, 301 nt
Filed under: uncultured bacterium
Lineage: Bacteria
Description: partial 16S ribosomal RNA
Rfam family: Bacterial small subunit ribosomal RNA
Source: RNAcentral
CAGUAGCCGCGGGAAUACGUAGGUGGCAAGCGUUGUCCGGAAUUACUGGGCGUAAAGGGCUCGCAGGCGGUUUCUUAAGUCUGAUGUGAAAGCCCCCGGCUCAACCGGGGAGGGUCAUUGGAAACUGGGAAACUUGAGUGCAGAAGAGGAGAGUGGAAUUCCACGUGUAGCGGUGAAAUGCGUAGAGAUGUGGAGGAACACCAGUGGCGAAGGCGACUCUCUGGUCUGUAACUGACGCUGAGGAGCGAAAGCGUGGGGAGCGAACAGGAUUAGAUACCCCGGUAGUCCCUGUCUCUUAUAC